CGUCGUCAGUUAGUCAACGGCACGCAGGAUGGCCGCAUUCCCGGUGGGGAAUCGAUGCAGGAGUUGAGCGAUCGCGUUCAUGCCGCGCUGGCGUCCU
This 97-nucleotide transfer RNA is filed under the name Salmonella enterica. Its description in RNAcentral is "tRNA-Gly". Lineage: Bacteria; Pseudomonadati; Pseudomonadota; Gammaproteobacteria; Enterobacterales; Enterobacteriaceae. The record is from RNAcentral.